UGGGGAAUAUUGCACAAUGGGCGCACGCCUGAUGCAGCCAUGCCGCGUGUAUGAAGAAGGCCUUCGGGUUGUAAAGUACUUUCAGCGGGGAGGAAGGUGUUGAGGUUAAUAACCUCAGCAAUUGACGUUACCCGCAGAAGAAGCACCGGCUAACUCCGUGCCAGCAGCCGCGGUAAUACGGAGGGUGCAAGCGGUAAUCGGAAUUACUGGGCGUAAAGCGCACGCAGGCGGUCUGUCAAGUCGGAUGUGAAAUCCCCGGGCUCAACCUGGGAACUGCAUUCGAAACUGGCAGGCUAGAGUCUUGUAGAGGGGGGUAGAAUUCCAGGUGUAGCGGUGAAAUGCGUAGAGAUCUGGAGGAAUACCGGUGGCGAAGGCGGCCCCCUGGACAAAGACUGACGCUCAGGUGCGAAAGCGUGGGGAGCAAACA
Molecule: ribosomal RNA, 427 nt
Filed under: uncultured bacterium
Lineage: Bacteria
Description: partial 16S ribosomal RNA
Rfam family: Bacterial small subunit ribosomal RNA
Source: RNAcentral